Zea mays is the source of this 846-nucleotide long non-coding RNA. RefSeq lists it as uncharacterized. NCBI's taxonomy places the organism in Eukaryota, Viridiplantae, Streptophyta, Magnoliopsida, Poales, Poaceae. The transcript has 2 exons. The record is from RefSeq and is a predicted model, not a curated record.
AUUGCAGGUGAGGACAGUGAAGGUCACCAAUGUCUCUCUUAGUGCAACUGUGCAAGACAUUAAGGAGUUCUUUUCCUUUUCAGGAGAUAUUGAUCAUGUGGAGAUGCAGAGGUUCAUAAAACCUGUCCAACUAGGCUGCCCCUUCUGUUUUCAUGUCCAUACUAAUUAAAUUUGUACCGCAGGUUAGCUAGAUCUCUACGUCAGUGCUUGAUUUGAUUUGUUUAACUUCCCGUCGUAAAAGUUGCUCAGAUCCCAUGUAGUUCAGCUUUGUUUUCUUAUAGAUCAAUUGGAUGUACUUGCUUUUUUGUAUAAAGGAUUGAGGGAGAGGAAGCAAAAAUGACUGUAUGGGAGAAUAUGCAGAAAGCUGAAGCAGAAGCAGCCAUACAAAAGCUUGUGAUAAAACUUGAAAAGAAAAGGCCAUACUCGCUGGAGAGGAUUUUCAACACCCUUAGGUCUGGCUCUCGGAAGACACAGGUGGUACGCAGUACAUCAACCGCAAAUCAGAAUCAGCAUAUUUCCAGAACUAUCAAAACGGCGCCAAACCUCAGCAAGAACGGUCAAAUGAGUUCAUUGAGUGGAUGCUUCAGACAGGAUCUAUAGCAUGGAUCAUAAUCUGGAUUGUCCUUAAGUUUUUAUUGUGCUAGGGGAACAUAAGAAAGUAUGUAGAGCAAAAUGAGAGGAGCUGUUGUUACCCUCAAUUCUUUGUGAUUAUUGUGCUAGAGUGAUGUAGUUGUUGGCUUUUGAACAAUAGCUGGAGUGAUAUGAAACAUUAGUGAUCUAGUUGUGAAUGAUAUUAUAAUUGUGAUGCUUUUGUGAAUAUAUAAUUGUGGUGCUUUUGUGUUUAUG